CUAAGAAUCUUCCGCAAUGGGGGAAACCCUGACAGAGCGACGCCGCGUGGACGAUGAAGGCCGUAAGGUUGUAAAGUCCUUUUGCAGGUGAAGAAUAAGCCGGGGAGUGGAAUGCCCUGGUGAUGACGUUAGCCUGCGAAUAAGCCCCGGCCAAUUACGUGCCAGCAGCCGCGGUAAUACGUAUGGGGCGAGCGUUGUUCGGAGUUAUUGGGCGUAAAGGGCGUGUAGGCGGCUCGAGAAGUCUGGUGUGAAAUCGCAGGGCUCAACCCUGCGGGUGCGCUGGAAACUGACGGGCUUGAGUCCCGGGGGGGAAGCUGGAAUUCCUGGUGUAGGAGUGAAAUCUGUAGAGAUCAGGAAGAACACCGGUGGCGAAGGCGAGCUUCUAUUCGAGGACUGACGCUGAGGCGCGAAAGCGUGGGGAGCAAACA
This 428-nucleotide ribosomal RNA is filed under the name uncultured bacterium. Its description in RNAcentral is "bacterial SSU rRNA". It matches the Rfam family "Bacterial small subunit ribosomal RNA", at positions 355 to 774 of the family's 1533-position model. The record is from RNAcentral.